ACUUCUACUAUAUAAGCCACAUCAACCCAAGUUAACGGGUAAAUAUAUAAAUGCAGAAAAGAGGGUUUACUCUCGGCGCACAUUAAGACUCCUUAACGUGCAUUGGGCACUAUGGCUCACUGAAAACGAAAAGCUAAACCCUGAAAAAUGAAAACAUAAGUGCGCACUACAUAUUCAACUAUUGCAUGAGGAUCCAUAGUUUUUACGAUAAUUUUGCACCGAAAAAACAUCGUGCUCCCAUCACAAAAAUCAACUAUUUCAUGUUCUAGGAAUUAGUGAAUCAGCCAAUUGUAGAUGCUAAGGAAGGCAUGAAAGAAAAGGUUACUAAAGUAGAACUCACCACAACUGCUAAGAAUUUGGAUUCUCAGGAGUCAACAAAAGCACGACCAAUCAUGCCAGCAGUUCUGAAAGCCAGGUUCUUCACCUGGGAGCCAGAGAGAGCAUGAGUAAGAGAGGCUGCAAAAUGUUCGAGAGAAAUUCAUUAUCUUCAAAUUUUAAAAAUUAGUCAUGAACACUAAUUCAAAUUCUCAGUCUCUUUCAAUUUUUAAAGGGGUGAAUUAUCAAUUUUGGAGUCUUAAGAUGAAGACUCUUUUCAAGUCUCAAGAGUUAUGGCACUUAGUGGAGAAUGGAUUUCGAGACCCAGAUGAAGGCCACACACGGCUGUUUUGGGAAAAUCGCAGGAAGGAUUCUAAAGAACUGUUUCUGAUUCAACAAGCCCUUUAUGAUGAUAUCUUUCCCAGAAUUUCAGCAGCGGAGAAAUCCAAUGAAGCUUGGGAAAUUUUGCAUUAGGAGUAUAUGGGAGAUAAGAAGGUAAUUUAUCACGACCCAAACCGAGGUCCUGGCUACGACGGGCAUCCCAAACCAUGAAAGCCUGAGAGCCCUUCUAACUGGCGAUCAUAUACACAAUCCAUAUACUAUAAAGAUGUGAAAAAACAAAACGGAAUCAUGGUCAUCUAAUUUCAACAAAACCAUUGGUUAUAAUUUCAACAAGGCCCCCAGUCGGACCAUAAACUAAAAACAAUGAAAUCAUCACAUGAGAUAAGGCCUUCUGAAAUAAGGGAGACUUACCAACUCCAAUCGACUGACAAAUCAAUCUACGGCUUAGCGAAACCCCACGACUGUGCCUAAGAUCCUGAAACAUAGGGGGUCAAUACAAAUGUACUGGUACGCAGAGCAAUCCAAAAUAAUGUAUUUUUUAUAUAACAUAAGUAAGAGCAAUUCAUAAAACAGUUUACAUAUGAUAUAGGAAAAACACAUGGGCAUUUUUUGAUAAAUUUCAAAACACUUUCUUGAGAUCAUGACUCAACUCUUUAUUUCUCUUUUGAGCUAGAUGGUACACCCUACAAUCUGUAAUUCUACAGGCUAUAUGAAAUUUGCCCUUGACUCGACGGCCAAGCGCCCAAUCUAAGUUUGUCGCAAGGAUUAGUGUAUCUAUAAGGGGGACACGCAAGAUCACACAACAGGGUGCCAAAAUUCUGAAUCCAAUCACUAUGUCAUAGUAGUGCACGAGAUCACAAAGAAGGACUCCUAACCAUAGCACCAAUUUGGGAUGACAUGAAUCAAGGUACACAAGAUCACAAAGCAGGGUACCAUAAUCCCGUGUCGGCAAAUCAUGAUUUCUAGCAUAGAGUCUUUCAAUACGUACUAUCUUCGAGUAACUAUCUAACUCUUUUUAAGCCCAUUUUUAAUUCUCUUAUAAGAAAAAAUGCAUCAUGCUUACACAAAACUCUUUUUUUAUUCUGUUAAGGGCAGUUCACAAUGAGGUAUCGUCAUACCCCGACUUGCAAGUCAUUUGUAUCAUAUCAUCCCACAACCCUUCUCAUUCAAACCAUUUAUAAUGACGUGCUUUAGAUUUUUCAAUCAUCUCAAUCAUUUGACCACCAAAAAUAUUUAAACAAUGCAAGGGAGUCCUUAUUUCAAAACGUGUGCAAAUUUAUGCAAAGA
This is an RNA transcript of Capsicum annuum, 1944 nucleotides long. RefSeq lists it as uncharacterized. NCBI's taxonomy places the organism in Eukaryota, Viridiplantae, Streptophyta, Magnoliopsida, Solanales, Solanaceae. The transcript is spliced from 2 exons. The record is from RefSeq and is a predicted model, not a curated record.